ACUCUAGCUCUAGAUAACUGAAACCUACUCAGUCUCACACCCCACUUAUUUUUAGCUUCCUCACCCAAUGCUUUUAAUCUCAUGUGAAGGGUAUGCCUUAGAAGGGGAACAAAUUUCUUAGCAACAAAGGAAGGCCUUGCUUGUCUGUUUUUAUUACUCAAGUAACAUGUGUGCUCAUCCUUUAGUGUGACAAUUUGCCAAUAGCUAUUCUGUUCAUACUUGGAAGCCCUCAAAUAAAAUGGACACCCUUCCUGACACUUGAUUACAAUCCUCUUAGGUUCAUUUUUUUUAAACACAAUAUCCUUCUUAUUUUGCAGGGCAUAGUCUCUCACAGCAUCUCUAAACAAAUUUGGAUCAGUAAAUACAUGGCCAACCUCAAAUUUGAUCACAGAACUUUCACCUCCCACCUUGAAUUUUGGAAAUUUCCUCCUCCUUAGCUUCUCACAGUCCUCAUCACUGUCAUAUGGACUUUCUAGGUCUUCAGAACUCUCA
This 492-nucleotide long non-coding RNA is filed under the name Lotus japonicus. Its description in RNAcentral is "long non-coding RNA (LJAP_LNC000472)". The record is from RNAcentral. Lineage: Eukaryota; Viridiplantae; Streptophyta; Magnoliopsida; Fabales; Fabaceae.